This 404-nucleotide ribosomal RNA is filed under the name uncultured bacterium. RNAcentral's name for it is "partial 16S ribosomal RNA". It matches the Rfam family "Bacterial small subunit ribosomal RNA", at positions 338 to 734 of the family's 1533-position model. The record is from RNAcentral.
CCUACGGGUGGCAGCAGUAGGGAAUCUUCCACAAUGGGCGCCAGCCUGAUGGAGCAACGCCGCGUGGGUGAAGAAGGUCUUCUGAUCGUAACACCCUGUUGUUAGAGAAGACAGUGCGUGAGAGUAACUGUUCACGUUUCGACGGUAUCUAACCAGAAAGCACCGGCUAACUCCGUGCCAGCAGCCGCGGUAAUACGUAGGUGGCAAUCGUUAUCCGUAUUUACUGGGCGUAAAGGGAACGCAGGCGGUCUUGUAAGUCUGAUGUGAAAGCCUUGGGCUUAACCGGAGUAGUGCAUUGGAAACUGGGAGACUUGAGUGCAGGAGAGGAGAGUGGAACUCCAUGUGUAGCGGUGAAAUGCGUAGAUAGAUGGAAGAACACCAGUGGCGAAAGCGACUCUCUGGUC